GAUGAACGCUGGCGGCGUGCCUAAUACAUGCAAGUCGAGCGAGAAUCAGUUGAUCAGAGAUUCGUCAAAGAGAAACUGAGGAAAGCGGCGGACGGGUGAGUAACGCGUAGGCAACCUGCCCUUAGCAGAGGGAUAGCCAUUGGAAACGAUGAUUAAAACCUCAUAAUGCUGUUUGAGCACAUGCUCAGACAGCCAAAGAUUUAUCGGCUAAGGAUGGGCCUGCGUCUGAUUAACUAGUUGGUGAGGUAACGGCUCACCAAGGUGACGAUCAGUAGCCGACCUGAGAGGGUGAUCGGCCACAUUGGAACUGAGACACGGUCCAAACUUC
Molecule: ribosomal RNA, 328 nt
Filed under: uncultured Clostridiaceae bacterium
Lineage: Bacteria; Bacillati; Bacillota; Clostridia; Eubacteriales; Clostridiaceae
Description: bacterial SSU rRNA
Rfam family: Bacterial small subunit ribosomal RNA
Source: RNAcentral